GGAUUGUGGCUCAGUGUUAGAGCGCUCGCCUACCAUAUGCAAGGCCCUGGGUUCGAUCCUCAGCACCA
This 68-nucleotide transfer RNA is filed under the name Marmota monax (woodchuck). RNAcentral's name for it is "tRNA.Gly". Lineage: Eukaryota; Metazoa; Chordata; Mammalia; Rodentia; Sciuridae. The record is from RNAcentral.